UAGCUCAGUUGGCUAGAGCACCUGCAUGACGCGCAGGGGGUCGGGGGUUCAAGUCCC
This 57-nucleotide transfer RNA is filed under the name Acidimicrobiaceae bacterium. Its description in RNAcentral is "tRNA-Val". It matches the Rfam family "tRNA", at positions 8 to 61 of the family's 71-position model. From Rfam's summary of the family: Transfer RNA (tRNA) molecules are approximately 80 nucleotides in length. Their secondary structure includes four short double-helical elements and three loops (D, anti-codon, and T loops). The record is from RNAcentral. Lineage: Bacteria; Bacillati; Actinomycetota; Acidimicrobiia; Acidimicrobiales; Acidimicrobiaceae.